This 339-nucleotide long non-coding RNA is filed under the name Homo sapiens (human). Its description in RNAcentral is "non-protein coding lnc-RRN3-1:2". The record is from RNAcentral. Lineage: Eukaryota; Metazoa; Chordata; Mammalia; Primates; Hominidae.
GGCACAUCCGGAGCCCCGGCCGUCGGCUCGCGUCUUCCCCUUGAGGGGAAAGAGCCAGACUUCUCAGAGGUCAGUCUGUUCAACAAGUGGGACCCCAGGGCCUUCUGUAUGUUCAGCAAAGAGAGCUUGCAGUGACCUCCCCAAAGGAUGGCUCCAUCUCCAUUCUGGGUUCUGAUGAUGCCACUACUUGUCACAUUGUGGUCCUGAGGCACACAGGUAAUGGGGCCACCUGCUUGACACAUUGUGACGGAACCGACACCAAAGCUGAGGUCCCCUUGAUCAUGAACUCCAUAAAAUCCUUUUCUGACCACGCUCAAUGUGGAAGGUGAGAUCUACGCU